Molecule: non-coding RNA, 134 nt
Organism: Maylandia zebra (zebra mbuna)
Lineage: Eukaryota; Metazoa; Chordata; Actinopteri; Cichliformes; Cichlidae
Source: RefSeq, a predicted model, not a curated record
GGAGUACAACACUGAAAUCACAAAGCUCAGGUCCCGACUUUGCCGCUACUUUUUUCCUCAAUAGAUCGAACUAGGAAGUGCAGUCAGUGCUGGUGUGUGAUUGCAGCCAAAGACCGGGUGCAGUGCCAGAAAUG